Molecule: ribosomal RNA, 584 nt
Filed under: Trichoderma lixii
Lineage: Eukaryota; Fungi; Ascomycota; Sordariomycetes; Hypocreales; Hypocreaceae
Description: eukaryotic LSU rRNA
Rfam family: 5.8S ribosomal RNA (bases 246-398)
Source: RNAcentral
UCUUGGUCAUUUAGAGGAAGUAAAAGUCGUAACAAGGUUUCCGUAGGUGAACCUGCGGAAGGAUCAUUACCGAGUGAGGGCCCUCUGGGUCCAACCUCCCACCCGUGUUUAUUUUACCUUGUUGCUUCGGCGGGCCCGCCUUAACUGGCCGCCGGGGGGCUUACGCCCCCGGGCCCGCGCCCGCCGAAGACACCCUCGAACUCUGUCUGAAGAUUGUAGUCUGAGUGAAAAUAUAAAUUAUUUAAAACUUUCAACAACGGAUCUCUUGGUUCCGGCAUCGAUGAAGAACGCAGCGAAAUGCGAUACGUAAUGUGAAUUGCAAAUUCAGUGAAUCAUCGAGUCUUUGAACGCACAUUGCGCCCCCUGGUAUUCCGGGGGGCAUGCCUGUCCGAGCGUCAUUGCUGCCCUCAAGCACGGCUUGUGUGUUGGGCCCCGUCCUCCGAUCCCGGGGGACGGGCCCGAAAGGCAGCGGCGGCACCGCGUCCGGUCCUCGAGCGUAUGGGGCUUUGUCACCCGCUCUGUAGGCCCGGCCGGCGCUUGCCGAUCAACCCAAAUUUUUAUCCAGGUUGACCUCGGAUCAGGUA